Molecule: ribosomal RNA, 484 nt
Filed under: uncultured bacterium
Lineage: Bacteria
Description: partial 16S ribosomal RNA
Rfam family: Bacterial small subunit ribosomal RNA
Source: RNAcentral
AUUGAACGCUGGCGGAAUGCUUUACACAUGCAAGUCGAACGGCAGCACGGGGGCAGCCCUGGUGGCGAGUGGCGAACGGGUGAGUAAUACAUUGGAACGUGCCCGGUCGUGGGGGAUAACGUAGCGAAAGUUACGCUAAUACCGCAUACGAUCUGAGGAUGAAAGCGGGGGACCUUCGGGCCUCGCGCGAUCGGAGCGGCCGAUGUCAGAUUAGGUAGUUGGUGGGGUAAAGGCCUACCAAGCCGACGAUCUGUAGCUGGUCUGAGAGGACGACCAGCCACACUGGGACUGAGACGCGGCCCAGACUCCUACGGGAGGCAGCAGUGGGGAAUUUUGGACAAUGGGCGCAAGCCUGAUCCAGCCAUUCCGCGUGCAGGACGAAGGCCUUCGGGUUGUAAACUGCUUUUGUACGGAACGAAAAGGCUCUGGCUAAUACCUGGGGCUCAUGACGGUACCGUAAGAAUAAGCACCGGCUAACUACGUG